AAUUGCAUAACAAUUAUAAAUCUUCAAAUAUACAUUUGACGUUAGCAAACGAUUAGUAACAUGUGAUGAGUCUGUUUCAUUUUCUCUCUUUUUUGAAAAUCUAGUAAGUUUGUUGCUUGAUUUGGCAUCCUUAACAAAUUAUGCCUUCUUACAUUAAAGUGGCAAGUUUAAAAAAUAUAUCUACAAUUUUUUUUUAUUAUUUUUUAAUUCUGCAUUAUCUGUUUGCAUUACCUUGCCAAGUUUUGGUAAUUUCUCUUUUUUA
RNAcentral lists this unclassified non-coding RNA (262 nucleotides) under Hevea brasiliensis (rubber tree). The record is from RNAcentral. Lineage: Eukaryota; Viridiplantae; Streptophyta; Magnoliopsida; Malpighiales; Euphorbiaceae.